UCCAUUUUCAGAUCAUCUGAAUCAUCAGAGGGAACAAGAAUUGUUUCUAAAACCUGUACGGCCCCACACGAAAUAUAUGUUGAUCGUUUGCUAAUGUGUCCGCUGAAUUGCCAAAGCUGGACCGAGUGGAUUAUGGGUGUUGAUCGCGCAUUUGGACGCUGUAUCAAUCCGUGUCAUUGCGAGAAGGGAUACAUCCGUAGGGAGAGCGAAGGCCCUUGUAUUCCGAUCAUGGAGUGCGCCUCUGUUCGCAACGCAGUUGGUCUUUUGAGAGAAAUGAUUCAUGGCAUGUAUACCGGUAAAAUAAAAUAUCUUGAUUAAUAAAGGAUAGAGUUUUUAGUUUCAAACUUCAUGCAAACUGAAGAAGAAA
Aedes albopictus (Asian tiger mosquito) is the source of this 367-nucleotide long non-coding RNA. RefSeq lists it as uncharacterized. Lineage: Eukaryota; Metazoa; Arthropoda; Insecta; Diptera; Culicidae. The transcript is spliced from 2 exons. The record is from RefSeq and is a predicted model, not a curated record.